Long non-coding RNA from Paramormyrops kingsleyae, 873 nucleotides. RefSeq lists it as uncharacterized. Lineage: Eukaryota; Metazoa; Chordata; Actinopteri; Osteoglossiformes; Mormyridae. The record is from RefSeq and is a predicted model, not a curated record.
GAUGAUUUGUUCAGUUCUGCCGUCGUCAGGCGAGCGGCCGCCGCUCUUAUCGCGACCAGCAGGUGGCCCCGAGAUCGGCGGCGCGUUUCAAACCCGGCCAUAAAUCACACCGGCGAGACAGAAUAUUAACAGCAUCAAGAGGCGCGUCAAGAAGUACACAUGAUGCAAGGAACGUGGUUAGAAGUAACUUACUGAAAAAAAAAACUACUGAUCCAAUCAAGGUCCUUUUUAAAUCCAGCAUCAGAAGUCGAAAAAUUUAAACUAUAUUCAACGUAUUACCCACCUACCCAACCUUUUGAAUCAGAAUCCUGACCAUGUUGUCAGCACCGAGCUGGGAAGCUGUCAUAGCAAACCGGGCAAGCUGUCUCACCGAGGACCCGAGUCAGACGACGACUCAGGAGUGUCAUUUGCUGAGGGGCUGGAGGAUGGGCCUGAAGUGGAGGGGCUGUGUCAUUCAGAGCAAGAUGGGGGAGAAAUGGAGCACAGAACAGGCAUCCGUGAUUUAAGCAGCACGGCGAGGGGAGUGACCUAGCCAACAGGGGGGUCUGACCCACCAGAUAACAGCUGCAGAGACAAUCAUGUGUAGCGGCGGGAGCUUCGGACCACGCCGGCCAGUUCCCAUGGCGCUGAUUGUGGCUCUUCCGUGUUAUUGCCAGUCGACCCCACAGAACGAACAAACAGGACCUUCUGGUUACCCCUGUCUUCACUAACAGGAUCAGAGAUGCACAAUAAUGGAAAAGUUGUUGAGAAUGCUCUGGAAGGAGUGAUAAUCCAGCACCGUGACAACUCAGUUGGUAUCUCCGCAUGUCUACAAGUCACCCUCCGAUGCCUGCAGACUGAUCCAGUACAGGGUCGAGUUGAGGACGGAGCCAG